GACGAACGCUGGCGGCGUGCUUAACACAUGCAAGUCGAACGGAAAGGCCCUGCUUCUUUGGGGUGCUCGAGUGGCUAGCGGGUGAGUAACACGUGAGUAACCUGCCCUUCACUUUGGGAUAACUUCAGGAAACUGGGGAUAAUACCGGCUAGAAGCUCCUGCUGCAUGGCGGGGGUUGGAAAGUUUCGGCGGUUGGUGAUGGACUCGCGGCUUAUCAGCUUGUUGGUGGGGUAGUGUCUUACCAAGGCUUUGACGGGUAGCCGGACUGAGACGGUGACAGGCCACAUUGGGACUGAGAAAGCGCCAGGACUCCUACGGCAGGAAGCGGUGGGGAACAUUGCACAAUGGGCCGAAGCCGGAUGCAGCACCGCCGCGUGCGGGAUGACUGCCUUCGGGUUGUAAACCGCUUUCGCCUAUGACGAAGCGUGAGUGACGGUAAUGGGUAAAGAAGCACCGGCUAACUACGUG
RNAcentral lists this ribosomal RNA (468 nucleotides) under uncultured bacterium. RNAcentral describes it as "partial 16S ribosomal RNA". It matches the Rfam family "Bacterial small subunit ribosomal RNA", at positions 28 to 507 of the family's 1533-position model. The record is from RNAcentral.